UCGCCCUCAUUCGUCUGAAAGUCAUUGCUUCCUUCUAGCUACGCAGAUGCAAAUCGAAAGCAAUCGUGCCUUGGUCACGCGAGCCCUCAUUGGCUUCUUUUGAUAGUUACCAUGGUGCAAUGACAGUUGGGAUAAAUGAUUACGUCUCAUAUUGCCGCUUGCGGACCAAGCGCAAAAUGGUGCGAUUUCUGGGAAUAGCUCUGAAUUGUUUUAUUAUCAACCAUUUUCAUCUCCGUUUCUGUAACUAUGUGGAAAUUCCCUGCGCCGUGCUCAUCACUAAAAGGAACAGAAUCUAUCGACUGUAUUACGUCUAAAGGAAAUGCUUUCGAUAUCUGUUCGGAUUACAACGACGAGGUUGAAAGAAACUUACAGUUUAUCCUCUGAAAUCGAUUUAAAGGUGCAGAAAUCAAACAGGAACUCUCAGUUUGGUCUCAGUUGGGACACAUCUUAGCCAACUUGAAGGGAAUACUCUGAUAAAAUACGUCGUUUUCAGGAACUGAGAGAAGGUGCCCAUGUUAUAAGUCUUUUCUUAACAAAUAAUUCUGGUCACCUACCUUAAUUGUCUCGACUUUGACUCUUUGAGGGGAGCUGAUUUUGGCUCUUUCAUUAUGACCGGUACGCGAGACUCGUUGGCAAGUGUAGCUGAGUCAAACUUACAUAGAAACUUAUUGAUCAAUUUAUCCGUUUCGCUGCAUUUAAACUCCUGCUUUCCAUUGUUUGUUAAAACCUUCCCCUCUAAAACUGUCGUUUCAGCAUCAGGGAAGUCACGUUUAUCCUAUCUUUUUAUUAGUCACGUCUGUUCUUUAUUAGUCACGUUUACCUAUUGUUUGACUUCCGUAUUUCUCAGUAAGGUAGUAAAGCAAAAUACAGUGGAUUAAAAUGAAAAUGAAUCUCC
Stylophora pistillata is the source of this 895-nucleotide long non-coding RNA. RefSeq lists it as uncharacterized. The record is from RefSeq and is a predicted model, not a curated record. Lineage: Eukaryota; Metazoa; Cnidaria; Anthozoa; Scleractinia; Pocilloporidae.